GUGCAGUGGUGUGAUCUCGGCUCACUGUGACCUCUGCCUCCUGGGUUUAAGCGAUUCUCCUGCCUCAGCCUCCCGAGUAACUGGGACUACAGCUGCAGGAAACAGAAAAUGCACUGCCUAGAUGGACCCUCUGACUCCCCACCACCCAGGCUGGAGCGGCAGAGGCUGCCAGGAAGAGCCAGAAAACAGGUGAACCCAAGGCCACUCCCUCCCCAGCCUGAGGAACACUCUACUGGUAAGGGGAGAAAUGCCUCAAAUGAGCAUGUGCACAACUUCAGUAAACAUGCUGUGCAUGUGGCCCCUCCCAAGUGCCCGCAGGCCACCACACAAGUGGACAGCCCUGGACAGCCCGCCCCUAGGGAAGAAUCAAGGGAGGAGAAACAGAAGCCCUGGAACUGUGCUAGCAUAUAAAACCCCAAGUCAAGGGCUGAAUGGCACACUUGGAUCUCUCAAGUCACCUGCUUGGCCCCCUUCCAAGUGUAUUUACUUCCAUUUGUUCCUGCUCUAAAACUUUUUAAUAAACUUUCACUCCUGCUCUAAAAAAAAAAAAAAA
RNAcentral lists this long non-coding RNA (553 nucleotides) under Homo sapiens (human). Its description in RNAcentral is "long independently transcribed non-coding RNA 1732 (LINC01732)". Lineage: Eukaryota; Metazoa; Chordata; Mammalia; Primates; Hominidae. The record is from RNAcentral.